This 73-nucleotide transfer RNA is filed under the name Eubacteriaceae bacterium CHKCI005. It matches the Rfam family "tRNA". Rfam says of the family: Transfer RNA (tRNA) molecules are approximately 80 nucleotides in length. Their secondary structure includes four short double-helical elements and three loops (D, anti-codon, and T loops). Further hydrogen bonds mediate the characteristic L-shaped molecular structure. tRNAs have two regions of fundamental functional importance: the anti-codon, which is responsible for specific mRNA codon recognition, and the 3' end, to which the tRNAs corresponding amino acid is attached (by aminoacyl-tRNA synthetases). tRNAs cope with the degeneracy of the genetic code in two manners: having more than one tRNA (with a specific anti-codon) for a particular amino acid; and 'wobble' base-pairing, i.e. permitting non-standard base-pairing at the 3rd anti-codon position. Lineage: Bacteria; Bacillati; Bacillota; Clostridia; Eubacteriales; Eubacteriaceae. The record is from Rfam by way of RNAcentral.
GGGCCUGUAGCGCAGUUGGGAGCGCAUCACAUUCGCAUUGUGGGGGUCGUCGGUUCGAAUCCGAUCAGGUCCA